AUAAAACCGAACGGCCCCCAGACAGUCGCUUCAGUCAACGUCUUGGUGUCGAAGUUUGGACACGUCCUUUUCAGAAGACUUCGAGGAAUUGCGUUUGUGUUUUUUUUUUGGUAGAGUGGCUGUUAUUUCGCUGUCCUAUCUACGUAAGAUUGUUUUGGACGGGUCUCCUGCUGCCUUCAGAUGCGUCUCUUGGCUCUGUUCGUGGCACUCCUCUCCCUUGUGUGUGCCACGAGUGCCUUUUUUCCUCUCCCACGUGGUAAUGGAUUUCAUGUUCGCCAGAACUCCAGAAGAGGUCGUCCGAUAAGUGGAGGGCGACCGCGACCCUACGUCUUCGAUGACUUUAUCAGAGGAAAGUAAGAGGAAAGGCACAGAGUUAGAGCCAUGUAUAAAUCCCUUUCACCAUCCGCUGGGUUGAACCUUGUCCCGUUUAUUUCUUUUUUCUUUUGGUUGAUUGUUUGUACGUUUUGUAUUUUGCGAUGUGAAUAAAUGAUUUACGAUUAAA
This is a long non-coding RNA of Penaeus chinensis, 502 nucleotides long. RefSeq lists it as uncharacterized. The transcript has 3 exons. The record is from RefSeq and is a predicted model, not a curated record. Lineage: Eukaryota; Metazoa; Arthropoda; Malacostraca; Decapoda; Penaeidae.